This 232-nucleotide ribosomal RNA is filed under the name uncultured bacterium. RNAcentral describes it as "partial 16S ribosomal RNA". It matches the Rfam family "Bacterial small subunit ribosomal RNA", at positions 524 to 755 of the family's 1533-position model. The record is from RNAcentral.
UACGUAGGGUGCAAGCGUUAUCCGGAAUUAUUGGGCGUAAAGGGCUCGUAGGCGGUUCGGUAAGUCAGGUGUGAAAUCUCCCGGCUCAACUGGGAGGGUGCGGCGGAAACUGGGACGCUGGAGUACGGGAGAGGUAAGCGGAAUUCCUGGUGUAGCGGUGAAAUGCGUAGAUAUCAGGAGGAACACCGGUGGCGAAGGCGGUUCUCUGGGCAUUACCUGACGCUGAGGGAAG